Molecule: RNA transcript, 1470 nt
Organism: Cydia pomonella (codling moth)
Lineage: Eukaryota; Metazoa; Arthropoda; Insecta; Lepidoptera; Tortricidae
Gene: RabX1
Gene name: ras-related protein Rab-31
Exons: 6
Source: RefSeq, a predicted model, not a curated record
CAGCUUAUUCCUUAUUCACAGUUCACAGUUGGAAACUUCGUCGUGAACAUGUGUUGUUGUUAUUACAUGUUUUUGUAAAGUUUAUACUUUUAGAUAUCUUUUAUCCUGUUUGCAACCAUGUGAAUAAUCAAAAUCGAGUGCCUAUGAAACAUUGUUGCAUUAAAUAUAGCUAAAAUGAAAGUGGUUGAAGCAAAAAUAGUUGUACUAGGAUCACAAGGUGUCGGCAAAACAAGCCUUGUGGUCCGCUACAUAGGGAAGAUGUUUUCCAAACACAUCUCGCCCACCAUCGGAGCAUCAUUCUUCACUUGCAACAUAAAUGUUGACGGAGCCAGAGUUAAACUGCAGGUGUGGGACACGGCAGGGCAGGAACGAUUCCGCUCAAUGGCGCCCAUGUACUACCGUAACGCCAACGCCGCGCUCCUAGUCUACGAUAUAACCAGCGUCGGCAGUUUCACUGCCAUUAAAACGUGGGUCAAAGAGCUACAAAGCAACGUACCAGAGCCAAUGGCGUUAGCUCUAGUGGGAAACAAAUGCGAUUUGCAGGAAGCCCGCGCGGUCCCUCACUCCGAAGCCAAGCAGUACGCCGCGGCCAUCGGCGCGCAGUACUGCGAGACCUCGGCCCUGCACGAUCAGGGCAUCGACCACGUAUUCCUGAGCACGGCUACAGCAUUACUACAAAUGUCGACCACAACCUUGAGUGCUUCACUACGCUCUUACGACUCGGCAGAGGGCGACACCGACAGAGUACCCACAGGUAACUGUAUACACACACUAACACACACACAAUCAAGUAUUCCUGAGCAUGGCUACAACAUUACUGCAAAUGUCGACCACAACCUUGAGUGCUUCACUACGCUCUUACGACUCUGCAGAGGGCGACACCGACAGAGUACCCACAGGUAACUGUAUACACACACUAACACACACACAACCAAGUAUUCCUGAGCAUGGCUACAACAUUACUGCAAAUGUCGACCACAACCUUGAGUGCUUCACUACGCUCUUACGACUCGGCAGAGGGCAACACCGACAGAGUACCCACAGGUAACUGUAUACACACACUAACACACACACAACCAAGUAUUCCUGAGCACGGCUACAACAUUACUGCAAAUGUCGACCACAACCUUGAGUGCUUCACUACGCUCUUACGACUCUGCAGAGGGCGACACCGACAGAGUACCCACAGGUAACUGUAUACACACACUAACACACACACAACCAAGUAUUCCUGAGCACGGCUACAACAUUACUGCAAAUGUCGACCACAACCUUGAGUGCUUCACUACGCUCUUACGACUCUGCAGAGGGCGACACCGACAGAGUACCCACAGGCGACCCCACGGACGACCCGGCCACGCACACGGGCAGCGUGGAGCUCCCGGCGUGGAGCAUCGCCAGCAUCGCGCACGGGGAGCCCGCGAGGAGCAUGUGUUGCUAGCACAAAUUUGAAUGCAUAACCAAAUCGAU